This 253-nucleotide ribosomal RNA is filed under the name uncultured bacterium. Its description in RNAcentral is "partial 16S ribosomal RNA". It matches the Rfam family "Bacterial small subunit ribosomal RNA", at positions 524 to 776 of the family's 1533-position model. The record is from RNAcentral.
GACGGAGGGAGCUAGCGUUGUUCGGAAUGACUGGGCGUAAAGGGCGCGUAGGCGGUUUUUUAAGUGAGGCGUGAAAGCCCUGGGCUUAACCCAGGAGGUGCGUUUCAGACUGGAAGACUUGAGGACGAGAGAGGAAAGUGGAAUUCCUAGUGUAGAGGUGAAAUUCGUAGAUAUUAGGAAGAACACCAGUGGCGAAGGCGACUUUCUGGCUCGUAACUGACGCUGAGGCGCGAAAGCGUGGGGAGCGAACAGG